GUGUCAGCAGCCGCGGUAAUACGUAGGGUGCGAGCGUUGUCCGGAAUUAUUGGGCGUAAAGAGCUUGUAGGCGGUUUGUCGCGUCUGCCGUGAAAAUCCGGGGCUCAACCCCGGACUUGCGGUGGGUACGGGCAGACUAGAGUGUGGUAGGGGAGACUGGAAUUCCUGGUGUAGCGGUGAAAUGCGCAGAUAUCAGGAGGAACACCGAUGGCGAAGGCAGGUCUCUGGGCCACUACUGACGCUGAGAAGCGAAAGCGUGGGGAGCGAACAGGAUUAGAAACCCUAGUAGUCC
Molecule: ribosomal RNA, 292 nt
Filed under: uncultured bacterium
Lineage: Bacteria
Description: partial 16S ribosomal RNA
Rfam family: Bacterial small subunit ribosomal RNA
Source: RNAcentral